This 405-nucleotide ribosomal RNA is filed under the name Cardinium endosymbiont of Bemisia tabaci. RNAcentral's name for it is "bacterial SSU rRNA". It matches the Rfam family "Bacterial small subunit ribosomal RNA", at positions 234 to 637 of the family's 1533-position model. Lineage: Bacteria; Pseudomonadati; Bacteroidota; Cytophagia; Cytophagales; Amoebophilaceae. The record is from RNAcentral.
CUUCGUAUUAAAUAGAGGGUGAGGUAAUGGAUCACCAAGGUUAGGAAGGGUAGGGGCUAUUAUUGGAAGGUCCCCCACACUGGCACUGAGAUACGGCCCAGAGUCAUACGGGGGCAGCAGUAGGGAAUAUUGGUCAAUCGGUGCAAGCUUGAACCAGCCAUGCCGCGUGCAGGAUGAAGCCUCUCUGAGUUGUAAAGAGGUUUUUUACAGGAGCAAAAAAAUCCCUGCGGGGGUUCUUGAGAGUACUGUAAGAAUAAGCACCGGCUAAUUCCGUGCCAGCAGCCGCGGUAAUACGGGAGGUGCAAGCGUUAUCCGGUUUUAUUGGGUUUAAAGGGUGCGUAGGCGGCUUAUUAAGUCAGUUGUGAAAUCCUAGUGCUUAACGCUAGAACUGCGAUUGAUACUAUU